RNAcentral lists this microRNA (23 nucleotides) under Bombyx mori (domestic silkworm). RNAcentral's name for it is "bmo-miR-308-5p". Its record names the gene bmo-miR-308-5p. Lineage: Eukaryota; Metazoa; Arthropoda; Insecta; Lepidoptera; Bombycidae. The record is from miRBase by way of RNAcentral.
CGUGGUAUUAUUCUUGUGAAUGU